GAGGGUCUAGCUCAGCAGUAGAAUAUGUGCCUACCAUGCACAAGGUCCUGGGUUCAAUUCCCAGUACCUCUG
This 72-nucleotide transfer RNA is filed under the name Camelus bactrianus (Bactrian camel). It matches the Rfam family "tRNA". From Rfam's summary of the family: Transfer RNA (tRNA) molecules are approximately 80 nucleotides in length. The record is from Rfam by way of RNAcentral. Lineage: Eukaryota; Metazoa; Chordata; Mammalia; Artiodactyla; Camelidae. RNAcentral also lists the same sequence under 1 other name.